GACGAACGCUGGCGGCGUGCUUAACACAUGCAAGUCGAACGGGCCCGCCCCUGUUUUUGGGGGUGGGUUGAGUGGCGAACGGGCGAGUAUCACGUGAGUAACCUGCCCCCUGCUCCUGGAUAACUGCUUGAAAGGGCGGCUAAUACGGGGUGUGCCGGCUGGUCCGCAUGGGCCUGGUCGGGAUAGUUUCAUCUUCGGGUGUUUCGGUGGGGGAUGGGCUCGCGGCCUAUCAGCUUGUUGGUGGGGUGAUGGCCCACCAAGGCGGUGACGGGUAGCCGGCCUGAGAGGGUGGGCGGCCACACUGGGACUGAGCCACGGCCCAGACUCCUGCGGGAGGCAGCAGUGGGGGGUAUUGCACAAUGGGCGGAAGCCUGAUGCAGCGACGUCGCGUGAGGGAUGGAGGCCUUCGGGUUGUGAACCUCUUUCUCCGGUGGUGAAGGCCCUGUCCGUUGCGGCGGGGUUGACGGUAGCCGGGUAUGAAGCGCCGGCUAACUACGUG
Molecule: ribosomal RNA, 499 nt
Filed under: uncultured bacterium
Lineage: Bacteria
Description: partial 16S ribosomal RNA
Rfam family: Bacterial small subunit ribosomal RNA
Source: RNAcentral